UGGGGAAUCUUGGACAAUGGGCGCAAGCCUGAUCCAGCCAUGCCGCGUGAGCGAUGAAGGCCUUAGGGUUGUAAAGCUCUUUCACCGGUGAAGAUAAUGACGGUAGCCGGAGAAGAAGCCCCGGCUAACUCCGUGCCAGCAGCCGCGGUAAUACGGAGGGGGUUAGCGUUGUUCGGAAUUACUGGGCGUAAAGCGCACGUAGGCGGACCAGAAAGUUGGGGGUGAAAUCCCGGGGGCUCAACCCCGGAACUGCCUCCAAAACUAUUGGUCUAGAGUUCGAGAGAGGUGAGUGGAAUUCCAAGUGUAGAGGUGAAAUUCGUAGAUAUUCGGAGGAACACCAGUGGCGAAGGCGGCUCACUGGCUCGAUACUGACGCUGAGGUGCGAAAGCGUGGGGAGCAAA
RNAcentral lists this ribosomal RNA (401 nucleotides) under uncultured bacterium. RNAcentral's name for it is "bacterial SSU rRNA". It matches the Rfam family "Bacterial small subunit ribosomal RNA", at positions 355 to 772 of the family's 1533-position model. The record is from RNAcentral.